CCUACGGGGGGCAGCAGUGGGGAAUAUUGGUCAAUGGACGAGAGUCUGAACCAGCCAAGUAGCGUGAAGGAUGACUGCCCUAUGGGUUGUAAACUUCUUUUAUAUGGGAAUAAAACAGGGUAUGCAUAUUCUCCUGUAUGUACCAUACGAAUAAGGAUCGGCUAACUCCGUGCCAGCAGCCGCGGUAAUACGGAGGAUCCGAGCGUUAUCCGGAUUUAUUGGGUUUAAAGGGAGCGUAGGUGGAUUGUUAAGUCAGUUGUGAAAGUUUGCGGCUCAACCGUAAAAUUGCAGUUAAGACUGGCAGUCUUGAGUACAGUAGAGGUAGGCGGAAUUCGUGGUGUAGCGGUGAAAUGCUUAGAUAUCACGAAGAACACCGAUUGCGAAGGCAGCUCACUGGACUACAACUGACACUGAUGCUCGAAAGUGUGGGUAGCAAACAGGAUUAGAUACCCUUGUAGUC
Molecule: ribosomal RNA, 460 nt
Filed under: uncultured bacterium
Lineage: Bacteria
Description: partial 16S ribosomal RNA
Rfam family: Bacterial small subunit ribosomal RNA
Source: RNAcentral